GAACCGAAUCUCCAUCUUCAAGAGACUGCUAGAAAACGAAUGGGGCGAUAAAAUGGGGCGCGCCUCACUCGAAACAUUGAAUUUGAGAAAACAGAACGCAGAGAAACAGCUGCCAACCACCGAAGAUAUGAAACGGCUACAGAACCACCUUCAGACCAAACUGGCAUCCACGAUGGAGUCUGUGAGUAGAAAGCCUAGCGUCAAGUCAUACAACACCUUGGCGUGCGUAACAGCCGUCAGCCUCAUGGUGUUCAACAAACGUAGAGGUGGAGAGUCCAUGAAGAUUCGUGUCCGUGAUUACACUUCAAGAGCGGCGUACACCCAAAACGAGACAGUCGUCAAUUCGCUAUCAGACUUGGAGAAACAGAUCAUGGACAAGAUGUGCCUGAUCAAAACGCGUGGCAAACGUGGAAGGACUGUGCCGGUUCUCAUACCACAGAUGGAGAAACGGGCGAUCGAUCUUCUGGUUUCUCUCCGUGAGUCGGUGGGUCUGCGUGAUAGUGUACCAGAAGAGGCGCUCCUCUUCUCAAAGGCUCCGGAAGGAAGACUCGUAAACGGGUGGUAUCAGCUGAAGAAAGAAUGCAGAGAUGCUGGUUGCCGAGACAUAAACGCCAUCACUUCAACAAAUAUGCGCAAAUAUCUAGCCACGAUCGCCCAGAUCAUGAACCUAUCAGAAAAUGAAAUGGAUCAGAUUGCCUCACACCUCGGACACGAUAUAACCGUUCACAGAAAAUAUUAUCGCCUACCGGACAGCACAGUAGAACUCGCGAAAAUAGCGAAACUUCUACUGUCUACCGAAGAAACGCUUGGAGCCAAUCUCGACGAUGAUGCUGAAGGAGCGUCAAAUGCAGUCGGCGCUACGGCUGGCCGUGUCAGCGACCCACCUGCUCGGCCACGGCCAACAGGCAGCCGGCUCCGACGUCAAGUAGGCGCUACGGUUCCUGACGCCAGCAGGAGCACUUGACCAGCAGCUCACCGCCACCGCACAGGACCUGGCACAGCUCGGCACAGGCAUGCACAUUGACCCAGCAGUGGUGCAAGAAUGCGAAUGGCAAGCUCUGCACUGAUUCCUCCGUUUUUAGCAUUAGUGUUUCGCGUAACUUUCCGUUAAACGGACGGGGCCGCCGCCGGCCCCGGCCGCCGCCGUGCGAGUCGGCCGCCGCGCCGCUACGGACGACUGGCACACGCCACAAGUGUGAUGGAUUUUCGGCCAACGCGGCGACACCGGCGUAGCGUUCAAUUGGCCGCGCUGCCCUGACGCUCCGGUGACGGACAGGUGGACCGAGGGCGCCGCCCGCCCAUCCCUCCGGACCAGGCCAGGCCGGCCGAUCUGAGGGAGGUAGGGAGGAGCCGCGUGGCUGGCCGAAUGGACGGCCGCGCCGGGCCAUUGUCACUGAUUGUUGGCCAUUGUCACUGAUUGUUCAUUGCCGCACCGAGGUCCGGCGAUGUCACCGGAAUGCCGCCACUGGUUUGAGUUUCCGCGAAACCGGCUUGCCCAGAGAUGUUUGUCACUGGCAUUGCUAUGUGCUAUUUGUGAUGUUCAUAUAUACCAUUCCCGUUACGGAGUACAUAUCUUGUUUUGAACGUUAAGUUCCGAUAUACGAACUGGCCGUCUGAAAAAGAGCCGCACGUGCACGAUGCUUGUAGAUAUUCCUGACGACCACGAACCGACCACGAAUCAGAACUGCGCCUCUCGUAAUGGGAGUGCGAGUAGUUGUUGCGAGUUAGAGCUCCUUGGCGAGUGGCUGACUCUGAACUGACUGACUAAACACCGGUUAGCUGUUUCACCAGCAGUCCCAGUGGAGGGAAGUAGGCCCAGGCGAGCAGGGUGUCGCAGCGUAAGUCCGACGAUGGCGGCGCAGUAGUCGAAUGGCGUCCACAUUUAGCCGACGAAGGCUGCGCUGAGCGCCAUACCCGCCUCACCUUAUCUCCGAGUCACGUGUUCAUGACUGACACGGGCAACCAUACGGCCCGUCGUUGCCCACGCGCACCCCAGACGGGGCCGCCAGUCGCGGCCCCGGACACGUCAGUCCCCAGAUCUGCAGUGAUGUCGCCCGGCUCUGACGAUGGCGCACAGCCGCCGUGUCCGCGGUCUCCGUCGCCGCCGCGGUAUGCGGCGCUGGGCGGCGACUCGUACAUGUCGCGGUCUCGCCAUUGGGGGCCGAACGAUUCGCGGCUCCCGCCGACCCCGCCGGCGACGAGUUUCCUCCGGCGAGUCCUGCGCCGUCUGGCGUGGUCGACGCUGCCCGGGAGGUUCCUGGCUGGCAAGCUGCUGCUGUGUCUACCGACGCACAGAGUUUUGUCGUGGCUGUGCUGUCCGCGGCCGUGCUCCACGGUUGCGACGUCUGCGGCCAAGCUGCCCGCUGCUGAGCUCCGCGGCCGAGCUGCCAGCGGCCGUGCUCUGCGGCCGUGCUCUGCGGUCGUGCUCUGCGGCCGUGCUUCCCGUGGCUGGGCCCUCCGUGGUCCCGUGAUCGUGGCCGCGGCGAGGGUGCCGCGACCUGCGCGAUGCCGUGCGCUGCAGUGAUGGCGCCGCGCACUGUGCAGUGAUUUUGCCGAGCGCUGCGUACGCGGUGGGUGCCGCGCGCCGCGCUGUUGAGCGUGCCGUAUUCGGACGGUGGCUGCCGCGCGCAGCGUGGUGAUUGCUGCGCUCUGCCAUGAGUGCCGCUCACUGCCGUGGCCUGAGUGCCGCGCUCGGACGGAGUGCCACGCGCCGUUGUGUUGCGUCGCCUUCUGCCUUUUGAUAUGUGCUAUCUCCGAAUUUAAUGUUGCUUGUUGCCGAUGUUCGCUUCUUUUCGUUAAGAGGGUCGGGUAUAGUCGGUCGAUUUAUUCGCACCGUUUGAUUUCGUACCGGCUUCUCUUCUGUUUCUUAUUGUUUUCUGCGAUGUCACUUGUCCGAUUUUAUAUCUGAUUAAUUCACGUCACUUAAGUAUUUAUUUUAUAUUGUCAUAAUAACUUACGGCGCUGUUCCUUUAUUUUCUGUUUAGUUGCAGCCCUAGUACCUUAAUUUCCGAUGUCUCUUCGGUUUGUUGUCGCUCGCAUGUUCAGAGAGUCCUGGUUGGCCGGCGCGAGCGGCGGUUGUGGAAUACAAGCUCGUCUGUGAA
Molecule: unclassified non-coding RNA, 3101 nt
Filed under: Amphibalanus amphitrite
Lineage: Eukaryota; Metazoa; Arthropoda; Thecostraca; Balanomorpha; Balanidae
Description: uncharacterized LOC122374320, transcript variant X2
Source: RNAcentral